CUUUUCAGGUGCUGUUAGAGUCUGUAAACAAGUCAAAAAUAACACCUGGCAUUUUGCCAGGGGAAUGUUAGAGUUCGUAAACAAGUCUGGAUGGUGCCUGGCAAAAUGCCAGAGGGAGUGGUUUGAGAAGUAACAAAAGCGAGCCAUUAAGUGUGGAGAUUCCUUAUUGGUUGACUGAUGUAUAAUUAGAUAAGCUGUGUGGAAUGUAUAAAUACUGCUCCUGUCCUGCAAUAAACGGCUCCUACUCCUGCUGUAUCAACGUACACAAGUUAUUCGUCACCCCCCGGUUAUUUUGCCCAGCCAGCCGGGCUGUGGCAGAUGGUGGCCCGUUACGGGGAGCCCCGGGACACUUGGGGGUAAGUGACGAAAAAAAAAGCUGCCCGUCCAUAGAUAGGACGGGAGCAAAUCUGCUCGUCCCUAGACAGAUAGGGCGAGAGGGAAAAUGACCAUUUCGAGAAAAUGGAAAAGAUUGAUACAGUAUGUUUGUGUCUUGUUUUGUCUCAGUGUAUUGUAUUGUCUUUGUGACGAAAAUAUGGAAGGGGUGAGAAGUAAAUUACUAAGGGAAGAAGGCACCCCAGUGGAACCAAGAAUAGUUAGGGCAUGUGUUGAUAAGAGCCCAGGAACUCUAGUCAGAAAGAAAAAGAAAGUUCAAAAGAAGAAGGAUUAUCAGAAAAAAAGUUGCAGCAAAAGGCUAUUACUGNUGGUUCUCCCACACCUGGAAGCUAAUGAGUAAUAACACUAUUAAUGCUUAUUUCAAAUGUAAAAAACCUUGAGAUAAUGUACUAAAUUGUUCAGAAGGCUGUUUUCUUAGUUGAAUGCUACAGGAUUUUCUUUAGCCAUCCGGAGUUCCUGCCUUCGUCCCAGUGCCGGUAAAGACCAAGGUGGAAGAAUUUCCAGUGUUGCUGAAAACUGGAGGAGACUUCAGAGCUAUUGCUGUUUCUGCUGCUACAACUUAAGCUAGCUGCCUGCAGAACUUACCUGGACUGUGAUUUACCUGGACUGUGAAUUAAUCUAUUGAGACACUGCUUUCUGGAAUGAGACAACAAACUGUAAUCUGUAACAAAUUGUAACUCGGUAUCUUUGCUAACAGUGUCAUUGCUGGUAUAAUUUUUCCAAGGGCUUCUUGCAUGGAGCCAUCAAUUGGCUUGGUAUUGUGGCAUUUUGUAUCCUCCCUUUCUGUUUGUAGCAGGUUAUUUAUGGUGUUUCUGUAAAAACCACUAUGGUCGUUAUUUAAAUUAAACAAAAGGGGGAAAUGUUAGAGUCUGUAAACAAGUCAAAAAUAACACCUGGCAUUUUGCCAGGGGAAUGUUAGAGUUCGUAAACAAGUCUGGAUGGUGCCUGGCAAAAUGCCAGAGGGAGUGGUUUGAGAAGUAACAAAAGCGAGCCAUUAAGUGUGGAGAUUCCUUAUUGGUUGACUGAUGUAUAAUUAGAUAAGCUGUGUGGAAUGUAUAAAUACUGCUCCUGUCCUGCAAUAAACGGCUCCUACUCCUGCUGUAUCAACGUACACAAGUUAUUCGUCACCCCCCCGGUUAUUUUGCAGCCAGCCGGCCUUCUACAAGGUGCUAUCUUGACAACAGGAUUCUUGAAACCUCUCUCAGAUAAUUCUAAUGUACAAGUGAAGCUGAGAAUCAGUUUCAAGCCACAUUCUAUCUCUACACUUUAACUGUGUUUCAUUGAUCUAAUUACAACACAUUUUUCUGCAGAUUGUCAUUUUUCCCCAGAGAAGCCUGACCUGAUAUCCCUAAGUAUUCUUAAUUUAUACUCCUAUAUUAUUCUGAUACUUCCCUGAUCAAAACGCUCAACAUUUUACCCACAAACAUAUUUAAUGUUUAUCUUUUCUGCCAGAAUACUCUGAGAGCUGUGGGAGUUUCUGGAUUUUCGUUUUUGUGCUAUUCCUUUUUACUGCCAAUGUAUACAAGGUCCCAAAUAAUAAAAUAACUCACACUAUGAAGAAGAAGUUUCCACAAUAAUAUAAUUUUCAAUAUAUUGAACACUAUACUAAAUUUUCUGUAUGUUAUUGAAUAUGACAUAAUGGAGAGUUACAAGCAUUAGUGCUAAAUCUCAAUAGCUUUCUUAAAUGUGAUAUAGAUAAAAUGAAAUAAUACACUACAAAGGCAAAUAAAAUCUCCCAAGGUCAGAAGCUAGGAAAUACAGUCAAAUCCAAAGUAAAAAUUAGGUUGGCACCAAAGUGUCUGUUUUCUAUUGCACCACACUGCAUUUCAAUAACUUGAAAAAAUACUUUAAAGACAUCAGACAUAUACCAAAAUAGAUGAGGUUAUUUUGGUAAAUAUAUUUAUAUUUAUAUUUGAUAUCUUGGCAGAUAUCAAACAGGUACUUUAUAUCUCAUUUGUUUACAUUACAUCUAAAUUAGCAUUUUCUCUCAGAAGCCUAACCUAAAGUUCUUUCUAAAAUUGCAAUAUGAACUUCAAUACUACCAUGUUAUCAUGAACCUCAAUUACUUUUUAAAAAUAUUUACCUUCUAAUACAACCAUAAAGUAUCUAAUGGUACAUAAUUAAAUUGGAUACCAUUAAAUUACAUAAAUUUAUUAAAUUACAUAUUACAGAGACAAAUUUGUGUAUUAUGAAACUUUUUUUAAAAAAUAUAAGAUUUAAAAAUAAUGAUGUAAAUUUUUGUUCCUUUUGUAUAAAUUUCUGUUUAGAACACAAUGAAUUCCCUUUUAAUUUUUUUUUUUUCUGAAGUAUCGACAUCAACAGUUCUUUAUUGAGAGAAAAGGUAUCUUCUGCUAGUCUUGGGUGUUCAUAAUACAAACAUUAUUACAUAGAGCAUGCCUUCAUUAACUAAAGGCCUUAUUUUGUUGUACAAGUUUAAAAUAUUUUGCAUUUUUUUGAAAUAUAGACUAUUGAACUUAUUCAAAUUCAAAAUGUUUAAUAAGUAAACUCUUUUUCUCUGACAAGUAUACAGGGUGGAUGAUAAUUUCCAGCACAGAUUAUCAUCCUAAAGAAUUAUUUCAAAUACUAAAAAUAAAAUGUUUGCAGCUUUGAGAUUUAAGAACAUAUUAAACCUAAAAAAAUGGAUGUUCUGUAUCACAUUUUUUUCCUAUAUAAAAUGUUUAGCUUACAAAAUGAUAUUUUCAUAUGAAUGUACUAUUCUGUUCUUUUUGUAAAAAAAUCAAAUUUACAAGGUCUUUAUUGUAUUGAUUGGUUUACAUAUUUUCAGGUUGAAGCUGAGUAUGGUUGUUGCAUUAUUAUUUUUCAUUUGGAACUUAAUGAUUUUCUGCCAGCAACUUACAAGUUAAUUUUAAAAAAGAAAUAGUUGUUAUUACAUGAUUUAUAUAUUUUGUAAAAGAUAGUGCCAUAAUUGGAACUCUUUUAUCAGUCUGUCAAGACUAAAACUGAGCUUUGAUGUUGUUGCCAUUUUAAGAUUUGUUGAAGAUUCUUUUUCAUCAGGAAAUUUUAGGCUUUUUUUUAAUUUAUUUUUUGAUGGGAGGGUGGUACUGAAGAUUGAACUUGGGGGCAUUCCACCCCUCAUGGCUCGGCCUCCUGAGCCACUGGGAUUAUAAGCAUGUGCCAGUAUGCUCAGCUUAAGUUUUUAAAUUUUAGAUAUUUCACAUCAUUUACAUGAACAAUAAACUAGACAUGAUAAAUUGAUUAUUCAACAUUCACUCUUCUUGAUUUUAGGAGUAGAUUUUUAUCACAUUUGGAAUUACUUUUUGAGAAAUUAUCAAAAUUUUGUUACCAUAUUGCUCUUUAAACUCAGGGAAGUUUGACAGAAAACAAGAAACAAAGUACUUGUAUUUUGGAAAUCAUAUAUAAUUGUAAUUCAAUGUGAACUUUAAAUAUACAUUAAGCAAGUUUCUUUUUUUAUUCUACAAUUUGAUUUGAAAAUAUAUAAAAUAAGAAAGACAAAAUUGUUUGCAAUUUGAAAUUUUAAACUUAAUUGAUCUGCCUAUUCUAGUGUUUUAAUUUACCUAUAAAUUAGAUGAUUCAUAGAUGUUAUCCUUCAGGGAAACUUCUCCUAAAUUUGGGUAUUUUUCACUUGGGCACUGAUUUUUACAUUAGCAUAUGAUUGGCUAUCUAUAAAAUGCCAAUUACAUAUGUGCCGUGUUUGGACUAAAAACUGAUUUAGUAUUUUUGUGGGUUUUCUUAAUGUGAUGCUGGGGAUCAAACCCAGAACCUCAAGCAUGGCAGAUAAGCACUCUACCACUCAUCUACAUCCCUAGUCUCUCAACCAGUACUUUUUGAACAAGUUUAACUAAUAGAAAACAUAAGUAGAAAGAUAUGAAUUAAUAUUUUAGCUAUUUUUCUAAGUAGCUAAACUACAUUAGGAAAGCAGUUUUACAUUUCUAACCAUCAACCCAUACUGUUUUAAUAAUUAGAAAGACUCUUCCAAUGAAAUAAAAAUGAGCAUAAUUAAAUCCAUAAAAUUAGUAUGUUUAUAGGUCCUUGCAUUUGUUUUUAUAAAAAGGUUGACAAAUUUCAUGUAGCAUUAUUUAUUAAAUUCCUUCUUGAAGACUUUUUAAUUAAUACAGCUCAAUGUCUUUACUAUUCUUUCCAAAAUUCAUAGGUUUUAUCUGUAUCUCUUAUAUCUAAGACUAUUUGGUCUUAAAUAUUAUUCUAGCUAUCCUAAUAAGUUGUGUUUCUGCUCUCUGUAAUAAACCAUAAAUCAUAAGUUAUUUUGGUCAACAUGAUAAAUAUAUAAUUUUGGUACUUCAUCAAAUAAAUCUUCUCUAAAAUCCGCACAUAGGUAUUUUUAUUUGCAAUUAGCAGGUAUCAUAAGUAUCUUCAUAUAUCCAAUUUGGAAUACCCUUUGAGUGAUUUUAUUGAUUUUUCUUUGUUACAGAUUUCUACUACUUAUUGCUUAAUCCAUAAAUACUUCAUUUUUUGUAAUUGACCUGUCAUAGUGAAAUUUUAACAUAUAAUAAAUUUUUCAUAGAGCUUUUACAUAUUUCUGCAAUAUUUGUCAUCUUCUAUUGUCAUGGAAAAAUUUUACACUGUCAAAAUUAGAAAAUUUAUCACAAAAAUUCUUGGUGAUGUUAAACCAUGACAGAAAGAAAAGACCACUGACUCCAAUUUUAAAUCAAAUUAAAGCAAGCUUGUAAUUCUGGCUGGCCAAGUCUGUCUCUCCUGAAACCCAUGGGUAAGCUCUCUAAAAGCAUAGUUUUAUAGCACAAAAAGUUGCAAAAGGGGGGUGUCUUGAGAACUUAUACUUAACAGGAUUUUGACAAGCAUAAUACAAAGGCAGAUAGUAGGUUAAUGAUCUAAAUGGUUCAACAAUUCAAGUUAGGAAGUAAAUUUAGAUCCUAACACCAGAAUUUAUGAGGCACCACUAAGGUUUCAGAGAGGGUUGUUAUCUGGUCAGGGAAAACCAGGCAUGGGUGAGUUCAAGGCACAGGCAGGCAUUCUAAGCACAUUUGGAAGCCGCAGUAAUUUAUAGUAAAACAAAAAUUAACUUUUUAUGACUUUGUGAUGAGGUGGCUCCCAAUCUUAAGAUAGAAUUAGGCUGGGUUCUUCAGUUAAAACUCAUUAAAUAUGUCUAAUAUCAUUAGUCCUUAGGUGAUAGAUCCAACCUGAUCUUUUCUUAAAAUUGGGCAUCUCGCCAUAAAACCAUGAAAAGAUAAUUUCGGCUUUACUAUAAAUUACUGCAAAUUCUGAACCUACUUGGAAUGCCUGCCCAUGCCCUGAACUCACCCAUGUCUGGUUUUCCCUGACCCAACCCUUUCCUAAACCUUAGUGACGCCUCAUAAAUUCUGGCCUUCCCUGACCGGAUAACGACCCUCUCUGAGUCUCUAAGAUCUACAUAAAUUCUGAUGCCUGGGCCAGCAAAAAUGUAAACUUGUGUUAUGCUCCUCAGAGUGUUGUUAUAUGUAACCCCCCUUUGUGUAACUUUUUGGGCUAUAAAACUGGGCCACAAAGAAACCUAGGGGCUGUCUUGUUCCCACCAUUUUGGGAGGGAGAGGCAGCCCAGCCGGUCGAAAUAAUAAGCUUGCUUUAAUUUGAUUUUAAUUGGAGUCAGUGGUCUUUUCUUGCGUCCUGGUCUAACAUAGGGAAUACAAAUAGAAAUUGCAUCAAGAUAUUACUUAUGGUCACUAAUAUGCAAUAAUUUAAAAAAAGAGGAAAAUAUUCAACUAUGAUCAUAAAUACCUUUCAUCCCAGCUCCUGAGGCUGAGUCAAGACAACUAGGUUGAAGCCAGCCUACGCAAUUUAUCAAGAACUUGUCUCAAAAAAAAAAAAAUGGGGAUAUAACUGAGUUGUAUGUAAAGUGCCCCUGGGUUUAAUCCCCUAUAUUGAAAAUCAAACCAAUCAAUAAAUAUACUUUAAAAAGGAAAAUAAAAAGAUUUUGGAGGAUAUGUAGAAUUUUUAACCUUUUCAUUACCAAUGCUAUGAAUAAAAAAAUGGUGCUACCUGUUAGAGUCUGUAAACAAGUCAAAAAUAACACCUAGCAUUUUGCCAGGGGAAUAUUAGAGUUUGUAAACAAGUCUGAAUGGUGCCUGGCAAAAUGCCAGAGGGAGUGGUUUGAGAAGUAACAAAAGCAAGCUAUUAAGUGUGGAGAUUCCUUAUUGGUUGACUGAUGUAUCUAGUUUAUGCUAAUAAGAUAAGCUGUGUGGAAUAUAUAAAUACUGCUCCUGUCCUGCAAUAAACGGCUCCUACUCCUGCUGUAUCAACGUUCACAAGUUGUUCGUCACCCCCCGGUUAUUUUGCUGCAGCCAGCCGGACUCCGGCAGCUACCACU
Molecule: long non-coding RNA, 6691 nt
Filed under: Marmota monax (woodchuck)
Lineage: Eukaryota; Metazoa; Chordata; Mammalia; Rodentia; Sciuridae
Source: RNAcentral